Meleagris gallopavo (turkey) is the source of this 144-nucleotide non-coding RNA. NCBI's taxonomy places the organism in Eukaryota, Metazoa, Chordata, Aves, Galliformes, Phasianidae. The record is from RefSeq and is a predicted model, not a curated record.
UUUUUACCCCUAAAACAUCCAUUUUUUUGCAGCGGACGCAAACUGACCCCGCAGGGCCAGCGCGACCUGGAUCGCAUUGCAGGGCAGGUGGCGGCCGCCAGCAAAAAGCAUUGAGGGGAGCAGCAAUAAAAUGGAUUUGAUGGA